AAAAAUAAAACAAAUAAAAUGGACCCAAUUGAAUUAAAACGGAAAAAAGGGGGCGGAUUUGCAAUAAAACAAAAGAAAGGACCAAAUUGGACACGCAGGAAACAAUAGGGGACAAAAAGGAAAUUAUUCCUUCCUUCCUAAACGCUGCGCAGCAUGGGACUGAAUUGAAGCAAAACUAAAAUCUGUGACCCAAUUUAAAAAAAAAUAAAACAGGAUUUAAUUGAAAGGCGGCGCAAAAGUGAGGGCCAAAAUGCUAAAUUUUCCCAUCUGACGUCAGAACGCGCGGAUCCUCCUCUCCGGGUCGGGUCACCGUGCGGGUCUGGCCAUUUAAAACGGCGCCGUUUUAAUUUUGUUAUAAAAGCAACAUUUAAAAAAAAAAAAAACUUCCUGCCAUGUUUAAAAAAAAGGCUUAUGAACCCUAGCCUCCUCUGCUAGGGUUCCCACAUUCAGCCCCCCACCGCCGCCGCGUAUUUUUCCCAACCGCACGACGCCGCCGAUUGAAAGGUAAACAAAACUCCUCCUUCUUCCCUUAUCUUUUGUCUCAAAAAGACAUGAAAUGGUGACCAAAAACAGAAAAAAGAUUCGAGGAAAACAAAAAGAAAUAAAAACCUUCAAAAUCGUAUUCUGAUCUUUCGUGUUUUCUAAUAUUUUUUAAUACAUCGUUUCCCUUCCCUUUUUCUUUCCCCCCUUUUUUACAGAUUUUCCACGGCUUUAAAUAGCCGAAAUGGAAAAGGAAAAAUGAACCAAAUCAAACGAAUAGAAAAUAUAUUAUGUUCUUAUUGGCGUGAUUUUUGCUAUUCUGUUCGCGUUUGUUGCUGCAGGUACAAGGCGAGGCGAGGAAGGCGCGCAACUCGCGCGGAGAGGGACCCUGUCCCCGAGUCGUGCGGCGACUGGACUGCUGGAGGCGGCGGCCAAGAAUUUUCUGUUUAGUGUUUCGGUAGUUAGGGUGUUUGGAAUUUUGGGCUUAGGUUAUAGUUUUGUUGGGCCUGUAUUUUAAAAUUUUGGGCUGUGUUUUUGUUUGGGUUUAUUCUCUCACAGGCCGGGCAAAGAUUGGGCCCUACAAAUACAUAAUAAUACGAUAUAACCUUUUUUUUAAAAAUAAAGUACCUGAUGCAUUUAUUAAAAAAUUGAAAACACUAAACAGUACCUUAAAGCCCUCCAUCUCGUCCAGCUGUCAAACAAAUAGCAGACUGAAUGGGAGGUGCCUUGGGCUCCUAAAAAAAUAACAAUUUGAAAUGGGAAACCAAAACGUCUUAAACAAUAUUAAGCAAACAAAUCCUAAUAGCAGUUUAGCCUUCUCCAGAACUCAUUUCUCCUCUCUGCAUCAGAUAAGAACUGACAAUUCUUAGCCUACAUCCUUACCCUCCAUCCUCACUACCCACUGAGAUUCUUCGGAGUUUCAACCAGCCCUGCAAUCCUCUGGUCUCAGUGCACAACUACCUACCAGACAUCCUCUAGCCUUUGCCACUGUCUUCGAUUAAUAAAUGCUCCAGUUUCAAGGGGAUUUCUUCCACCUAAUACCUCGGCGAGUCAAGUUGUCGC
Molecule: long non-coding RNA, 1542 nt
Filed under: Gossypium barbadense (sea-island cotton)
Lineage: Eukaryota; Viridiplantae; Streptophyta; Magnoliopsida; Malvales; Malvaceae
Description: long non-coding RNA (GBAR_LNC022648)
Source: RNAcentral